GCCAGCAUGGUGUAAUGGUUUGAGUGUUGGACUAUGACUCUGAAGACCAGGGUUUGAAUCCCUGCUCUGCCA
Molecule: transfer RNA, 72 nt
Filed under: Phrynosoma platyrhinos (Desert horned lizard)
Lineage: Eukaryota; Metazoa; Chordata; Lepidosauria; Squamata; Phrynosomatidae
Description: tRNA-OTHER
Source: RNAcentral